RNAcentral lists this ribosomal RNA (465 nucleotides) under Vreelandella stevensii. RNAcentral's name for it is "partial 16S ribosomal RNA". It matches the Rfam family "Bacterial small subunit ribosomal RNA", at positions 338 to 795 of the family's 1533-position model. The record is from RNAcentral. Lineage: Bacteria; Pseudomonadati; Pseudomonadota; Gammaproteobacteria; Oceanospirillales; Halomonadaceae.
CCUACGGGGGGCUGCAGUGGGGAAUAUUGGACAAUGGGGGCAACCCUGAUCCAGCCAUGCCGCGUGUGUGAAGAAGGCCCUCGGGUUGUAAAGCACUUUCAGUGAGGAAGAACGCCUGGUGGUUAAUACCCAUCAGGAAAGACAUCACUCACAGAAGAAGCACCGGCUAACUCCGUGCCAGCAGCCGCGGUAAUACGGAGGGUGCGAGCGUUAAUCGGAAUUACUGGGCGUAAAGCGCGCGUAGGUGGCUUGAUAAGCCGGUUGUGAAAGCCCCGGGCUCAACCUGGGAACGGCAUCCGGAACUGUCAAGCUAGAGUGCAGGAGAGGAAGGUAGAAGUCCCGGUGUAGCGGUGAAAUGCGUAGAGAUCGGGAGGAAUACCAGUGGCGAAGGCGGCCUUCUGGACUGACACUGACACUGAGGUGCGAAAGCGUGGGUAGCAAACAGGAUUAGAUACCCCAGUAGUC